This is a small nuclear RNA of Sciurus carolinensis (gray squirrel), 107 nucleotides long. The record is from RefSeq and is a predicted model, not a curated record. Lineage: Eukaryota; Metazoa; Chordata; Mammalia; Rodentia; Sciuridae.
AUGCUCACUACAGCAGCACAUGUACUAAAAUUGCAACAAUGCAGAGAAGAUUAGUAUGUCCCUUAUGCAAGGAUGACGUGCAAAUUCAUGAAGUAGUCCAUAUUUUU